GGGACCUAUUGUGCUGACAUUUACAAUGUUUACAUAUAGAAAAGUUUGUUUUUUUCUGCUUAUAAUACCGUUUUCUAAAGAUAUUAGUGAACAAAAUCGAUUUGCUAACAAUAUUUAAUAUAUUUUAAAUGUGCUAAAAUUGGAUUCAACAGCAAAAGUCGCAUAAAUAACAUAUAAAUAACGAAUUUGUUCACCUAUUACAAAUGGGGUUAUGUGGUUGUAACUGUUUAUUUUGGGAAUAAAAUGAAAAUGAUCAAUUAAACGACUGGAAAACUAUAGUGAAGUGAAGAACAUCUUGAAGUUCCAAUGAUGUUUCAAGAUGAGAUAAAUCGAAAUAAUGGUUGUAUGUUAGAAGGACAGAGAAUACGAAGAAAUGUUAUUGCUGCAUACUUAGUGUAGUGAAAUACAAACUUCAAACAUUAUAA
Molecule: long non-coding RNA, 425 nt
Filed under: Diabrotica virgifera virgifera (western corn rootworm)
Lineage: Eukaryota; Metazoa; Arthropoda; Insecta; Coleoptera; Chrysomelidae
Description: uncharacterized LOC126881634
Source: RNAcentral